AAGUCGUAACAAGGUCUCCGUUGGUGAACCAGCGGAGGGAUCAUUACAGAGUUGCAAAACUCCCAAACCAUCGUGAACGCUACCAAUAUCGUUGCUUCGGCGGGCGGCGCGCCCGCGCCCUCAGCCCCCUCCGGGGGGCCCGCCGGAGACCCAACAAACUCUUGAAUUUUCGUGGCCUCUCUGAGUCUUCUGUACUGAAUAAGUCAAAACUUUCAACAACGGAUCUCUUGGUUCUG
Molecule: unclassified non-coding RNA, 236 nt
Filed under: Dichotomopilus erectus
Lineage: Eukaryota; Fungi; Ascomycota; Sordariomycetes; Sordariales; Chaetomiaceae
Also listed under: 1 other name
Description: partial internal transcribed spacer region
Rfam family: Eukaryotic small subunit ribosomal RNA (bases 1-46)
Source: RNAcentral